Molecule: RNA transcript, 3328 nt
Organism: Cylas formicarius (sweet potato weevil)
Lineage: Eukaryota; Metazoa; Arthropoda; Insecta; Coleoptera; Brentidae
Gene name: diuretic hormone receptor-like
Exons: 12
Source: RefSeq, a predicted model, not a curated record
AGUGACUAACUGAUACGAAUUAAGCAAAGACCCGGGUAAGCUGUAAGACUGAAAUAUGGCCGAACAGGUCCGUACCUUGCUUAGAAUUUAAUUAUUUGGGAUUUUGUUAGGAAAGAUAGUAAAUAAUAUUGAUUUAUUUAUGUAUGUCUCAUUUGGGCUGGAGCAUCUCCUGAGAUACACUAGACUCGCACAUAUUUUGCAUAAUUCGCACACGAUUCAACACACGCUGUAUUACACACAAAAUAAGAAUGAUUACUAAUAAACUUAAACUAAGCAGUAUAGCAAACCAAAGAAUAUUAAACACAGAUAGGUAUAAAAUUAUUUUCUAUUACUGACCACAAUUUUACCCGAAUUUAAAUUCCGAACCUUUGGGUAAUAAUCUUGUUGCAUUGUAUGUUAAUGACCACCCUUGGAUAAUCCCAUUAAAAAGCAAUUUGUCACUUUCUUAUAUCUGUGAACAGACCAUAACGACGGAUUCCGUUCGCAUCCGCAUCUCUUUCGCUUGGGAAUAUGCCACAAGUUUCAAUCCAGUCCGUCCCUGGUAAACGAUAAAGUCCGAUCAUCGCUAAACUAAACAAAUCCUUUGACCUAACAAGCGAGAUCUCACCAAACAAUAACGGAAAAAAUCGCCAUUUAGAGUAUUAAUUCGGCACACACACAACAACAAAUAACGACUAAUAUCGCGUUUUGGCGUAUACGAUAGCGUAGUCGCGACGUAAAGCUUUUUCCGUAACGGUCGGAUCGCUGCACCCGCGUAAAAUAACGCAUUAGCAAUUUAAUAAUCGGUGAAAAAGUAUCGCCUUGAUCGCAUGUAAAUUAAUAACUAAACGCGUUAUCGUAGAGGCGACACCAGCGCCGUAUGGUGAUCUUCGCGGAUUAUACGUUCGCGGAAGUGUCGGUCGAUCUAGCGUGUACUUUUUGCGUCGUCCUGGGAUCGGAAAUCAAGGAGGCGAGUUCCGCGGCCCGCUUCGCGUAAAUUGGCAAUCGGUUUUUGCGGAUGAACUUUGCGAGAGUUCGCGCGGAAAUCUAUUAAAAAGUGUGUCGCCGACGCCGAAUUAAUCGGGAUUUUAAGGACUAGUUCUUCGAGGCGAAUCUUUUCGACACGGGCGGCACCAAAGGACGCUCAGCCCUUAUAAGAUGCAGGUCAACAACAAACCAAACCAAUAUAGCAACGCAGCAGCAAGCAUCGGAGAGAUGCGAAAGCGCUGGUACCUCAUAAUAAACCUAUCCGGAUUCGUAUCCUCAGACGAAUGAACCUUUAGGAUGCGCUUCAAUCUAUUUUGCUUCCUAGAAGUAUCUUUGGUAAUGGCGACCCGUGGCGCCUCGGUGUCCUGGUUCGGUACUAACCCAGAACAGGAACCCGCCGAACCUGACAUUUCUAGACACCCCAUCGCCACCGGGUUCGGAUUGAACGUCAGCCUCGACGAAGACUUGGAGUACAGAUCGAACAUCACCAUGGAGGACUGUACGAGGUUGUACAAAAGUGAGAUUAGUUCGGUGACGAAGUUGAAUCGUGGCGGAUUUUGCAACGUCACUUUCGAUUUGUUGUUGUGUUGGCCGCCUACACCACUGAACGGUACCGCGCAAGUGAAGUGCUUCUCGGAACUUUUGGGUAUCAGAUAUGACGAUUCUCAAAACGCUACACGGAAGUGUUUGUGGAACGGCACUUGGUCGAAAACGAACUACAGCCAGUGCAAGGAAAUCGAUCCUUUUCCAGUGGACAUCGUCAACACCCAGGUCAACAUUUACGUCACGGGAUUCGUGCUGAGUGCUUUUACUCUAGCGAUAGCAAUAUUUAUUUUCACCUACUUCAAAGAACUGAGAUGUCUACGAAACAAAAUCCACAUGAACUUGAUGUGGUCGUACGUGCUAACAUAUAUCAUGUGGAUUAUCAUUCUGGUAGAGAUGAAUUUUCGCAACCAGUUGGGUGUAGUGACGUGCGUAUUCGCGGUCACGUUGCUUCAUUAUUUCCACAUCACAACCUUCUUCUGGAUGUUCGUAGAAGGCUUGUACCUUUACAUUUUAGUCGUCAGAACUCUCACGAGGGAGAGCUUCAAAUUGAGGGUCUAUGCGGUAAUCGGAUGGGGUGCGCCGAUGUUUUUCAUCGUCCUUUGGGCCUUAGUUAAGGCUUUCGUCGUCGUCCCGAAGAAAAGUUCUUCUCCGGAAGAGUGCACCUGGUUCACAGCCCACCACAUAGACUACAUCUUCCAAGCGCCCACCCUCAUCGUGACCUUCGUCAACGUGGUGUUCUUGAUAUCGAUAAUGGUGGUGCUGGUGACCAAAUUGCGCUCCGCCAACACGCUGGAAAUCCAGCAGUACCGCAAGGCGAUGAAAGCACUCGCGGUCCUCAUUCCACUGCUGGGAGUGACUUACGCCAUCACCAUUUACAUGCCGUCGUUCACGCUCGUAGAUAUGGUAAGGGCGGCGCUGCUGUCUGUACAGGGUUUCAUGGUGGCGUUGUUCUACUGUUUCCUCAACAUGGAAGUGCAAAACACGCUCAAGCAUCACUUCGAAAACUGGAAGACCAAGAAAUCGCUGGGACCAAAUCGGCUCAGGUCGAGCAGUAGGAGCAAAGAUUGGUCUCCCAGGUCGAGGACCGAGAGUAUAAGUACGCAGAGAAUGACAGACUGGACGCUGCUUGCACCGGAAGACAUCGAGGAGAUGGCAAACAUACGUGAGUCGCAUGGCAACGGCUCGCUGCUUAAUCACCAUCACAAAUGACCUCCAGUUCGGGGGUUGAUAUCGCCGGGGCGCUGCUAAUUUUUCGACAUAGGGAAUCACGAUGAGCGGUAGGAAGAGCCCUGACCUUUGGACCGUGCCCACGUUGCCAACCAAAUGAAUAGCAUAAUAUUGUCGACGUUUCAACGCAGAAGACUGAUAUGCAAAGCCACACACAAAAAGAACCUUUUAUUAAAUAGUAUCUAAAGAACGGAUUCUAGAUCUAAGUAAAAUUUUUUCCAAAGAAGUAAAUUUAAGUUAAGAAGUUAAUUUAAUAGAAGCCAUGUUGAAUGAAAUACCUUUUCAUGCCGUCACACAAACAUCCCAAAAAAUUUUUAUAUCUGAAUGAACAUCGAAUUAUAAAUUUUAACCACGAUUUAGCUCUCUGUCUUAUGGGUAGUUGAAUAUUAGGAGAUGUGCUUUGGUUGUCUACGACACGCCCAGUUCAGAAGUGUCUUUAAUCAAAACAGGCUUUGUUCGGUAGGCUCUAUAGUCAACCUACCAAUUUCUACCACAAGAGGGAAUCUUGCACUUCCGAAGUGACCACCACGACCCUGGUGACGGUCAACGGCGGGCCCCAGGCCCGAGCCAGCCCCUUUUUGCAUCCCCC